UUUUGACAUUAUGUAAAUUAAGAUUAUGUAAGAAUGUGUAACCAUAAAUGUCCAGUCGAACUUGGUUUUAUGGUUACACAUUCUUACAUAAUCUUAAUUUACAUAAUGUCAAAAAAUCUUUUUCAUCCAAUUAUUGAUUUCAUGACAUGAAGGAUAUCAUAAAUGGUUCAAUAUGGAAAGAGAAAAAAGAAAGUGUAACAUAUGCAAUCUAGACAUUGGAGAUGAAUUCCAUCACAUUAUAAAUUGUUCACAUUAUAUAGAAGAGAGCAAUAAAUUUACAAAUCAAAUUUUAAUAUAGGGCUAAAUAUUUAUACUAUUUACUGAAAUUAUCUCUUCUACAAAUAGGACAGAUCUCAUAAAGUUUAUACGAAUUAUAAACAAG
Molecule: long non-coding RNA, 382 nt
Filed under: Mytilus galloprovincialis (Mediterranean mussel)
Lineage: Eukaryota; Metazoa; Mollusca; Bivalvia; Mytilida; Mytilidae
Source: RNAcentral